UGGGGAAUUUUGGACAAUGGGGGAAACCCUGAUCCAGCCAUGCCGCGUGAGUGAAGAAGGCCUUCGGGUUGUAAAGCUCUUUCAGCCGGAACGAAACGGUCACAGCUAAUACCUGUGACUACUGACGGUACCGGAAGAAGAAGCACCGGCUAACUACGUG
Molecule: ribosomal RNA, 160 nt
Filed under: uncultured ammonia-oxidizing bacterium
Lineage: Bacteria
Description: partial 16S ribosomal RNA
Rfam family: Bacterial small subunit ribosomal RNA
Source: RNAcentral